AGGACGAACGCUGGCGGCGUGCUUAACACAUGCAAGUCGAGCGGUAAGGCCCUUUCGGGGGUACACGAGCGGCGAACGGGUGAGUAACACGUGAGUAAUCUGCCCUUCACUUCGGGAUAACCACCGGAAACGGUGGCUAAUACCGGAUAUGACCUGCUACCGCAUGGUGGUGGGUGGAAAGUUCUGGCGGUGAAGGAUGUGCUCGCGGCCUAUCAGCUUGUUGGUGAGGUAAUGGCUCACCAAGGCUUCGACGGGUAGCCGGCCUGAGAGGGUGACCGGCCACACUGGGACUGAGACACGGCCCAGACUCCUACGGGAGGCAGCAGUGGGGAAUUAGUGACAAGUGGCGAAGCCUGAUCCAGCAA
RNAcentral lists this ribosomal RNA (365 nucleotides) under uncultured soil bacterium. Its description in RNAcentral is "bacterial SSU rRNA". It matches the Rfam family "Bacterial small subunit ribosomal RNA", at positions 26 to 394 of the family's 1533-position model. The record is from RNAcentral.